RNAcentral lists this ribosomal RNA (446 nucleotides) under uncultured bacterium. RNAcentral's name for it is "partial 16S ribosomal RNA". It matches the Rfam family "Bacterial small subunit ribosomal RNA", at positions 338 to 795 of the family's 1533-position model. The record is from RNAcentral.
CCUACGGGCGGCAGCAGUCGAGAAUCAUUCACAAUGGGGGAAACCCUGAUGGUGCGACGCCGCGUGGGGGAAUGAAGGUCUUCGGAUUGUAAACCCCUGUCAUGUGGGAGCAAAUUAAAAAGAUAGUACCACAAGAGGAAGAGACGGCUAACUCUGUGCCAGCAGCCGCGGUAAUACAGAGGUCUCAAGCGUUGUUCGGAAUCACUGGGCGUAAAGCGUGCGUAGGCUGUUUCGUAAGUCGUGUGUGAAAGGCGCGGGCUCAACCCGCGGACGGCACAUGAUACUGCGAGACUAGAGUAAUGGAGGGGGAACCGGAAUUCGCGGUGUAGCAGUGAAAUGCGUAGAUAUCGAGAGGAACACUCGUGGCGAAGGCGGGUUCCUGGACAUUAACUGACGCUGAGGCACGAAGGCCAGGGGAGCGAGAGGGAUUAGAUACCCCUGUAGUC